UCAGAAGUGCAAGCUGCUGAUUAACUAUGCUGCAUUUUUUAUGACGUGAAAGUUCGGAAAUGCUCCACGCCAAAAAAAAAAAAAAACAAGAAAAGAAAAAAGGCUGUCAUUUUUUGUCCCAGUGCAGACAAAGUGCAUUGUUGUAGAAGGAGGUGAAGAGACCUUGGUUGGAGAUGUCUAAGUGUAGCCAUAAGCGGUCCUUCAAGCAUGUGGUGGCAAUGUUUCCUGAAAAAGAUGUCUCUGUACUUUGUAUGAGGCAAGCUUUAAAACCAAGGAAUCCAGAAGAGUUGAUGGUUUUGUGUGUGUGCGUGUGGGCACCAGAACUAGCACCUCUGAAAAGUAAAAUGAUCUACAUGAGCUCCAGGGAAUGCAACCAAAAAGAAAUAUCAAGGCAUAAAACAUGAACAUCAAGCAAAGGGGCCAGAAGUCCUCCCUUAGGCCUGUCCCACUGGGAAGCCAGGCGGC
This 465-nucleotide long non-coding RNA is filed under the name Homo sapiens (human). RNAcentral's name for it is "non-protein coding lnc-S100B-1:1". The record is from RNAcentral. Lineage: Eukaryota; Metazoa; Chordata; Mammalia; Primates; Hominidae.